UGAUAUUAUGUACCAAAGGAUGUGGCUGGAAAAAGAAUUGACAUACUGCGGUAGCAUACAGGUCAUAAAUAUCUCAUGAAAAUGACAAACUCUUUAUUUUCAAAUAUCAGACUUGAUACCACAAAAACACAUUUAAUGAGAACAUAGACACAAUUUUGACAAUUUUACAGCAGCAGUGCUACACAUCAGAAACAACAAUUUAAUUAUAACAAGGAUGGUAGCAAAUCCUCACAUACUGAACUCCAAAUAUAUAUGCUCCUUCAACAAGUUAUCAAUAAUCUUCACCUUCCUCUUCAU
RNAcentral lists this unclassified non-coding RNA (297 nucleotides) under Hevea brasiliensis (rubber tree). Lineage: Eukaryota; Viridiplantae; Streptophyta; Magnoliopsida; Malpighiales; Euphorbiaceae. The record is from RNAcentral.